Molecule: ribosomal RNA, 114 nt
Filed under: Diaphorina citri (Asian citrus psyllid)
Lineage: Eukaryota; Metazoa; Arthropoda; Insecta; Hemiptera; Psyllidae
Source: RNAcentral
AGCGGCAGCGAUAGCACUUUGAAUGCUCCAGUUCCUUUUGGACCACUGAAGUUAAGCAACGCUGCGCGUGGUUAGUAUCCGGAUGGGUGACCGUCUGGGCAAUCGCGUGCUGGC